This 490-nucleotide unclassified non-coding RNA is filed under the name Artemisia argyi. RNAcentral's name for it is "partial external transcribed spacer". The stretch from base 426 to 490 matches the Rfam family "Eukaryotic small subunit ribosomal RNA", at positions 1 to 64 of the family's 1831-position model. Lineage: Eukaryota; Viridiplantae; Streptophyta; Magnoliopsida; Asterales; Asteraceae. The record is from RNAcentral.
CGUAAAGGUGCAUGAGUGGUGUUUGGUUUGUCAGUGUGGUUGGCUGCGGCGUUUGCAACAACUUCCAUGCUUUCAGACCUCUUCAGUUGUGCGGCAAGGCUUGUAUCGCCUUGCUGUAUUGUGGGUUUUCUGUGUUGAAUACCUAAUCAAUGGUAUCGGUUGGAUUGAUCAAUGUUUCAUUUCGUCUGUCGUCGCRUUCGCGGCGUGAGACGAACCUCGAUGCGGUCUCUUUGGCCCACCUCGUCGAAGCACAUGCUUUGACGUUGUGGCACAUUGAGCAUUGCUUGGUCUCUUGUAUACGGAACAUAUAGUGGGCAUGGAUCUAACGAUUCUUGUUUGCCCUCAUGUUAGCGUAACGCUUCUCUUACACGACUUGCUCCACGUUUUAGCUCGUACGGACGUGGUGCUAUGUCGAAGAGGAAUGCUACCUGGUUGAUCCUGCCAGUAGUCAUAUGCUUGUCUCAAAGAUUAAGCCAUGCAAGAUGUAAGU